RNAcentral lists this transfer RNA (75 nucleotides) under Burkholderia multivorans. RNAcentral describes it as "tRNA-Ala". It matches the Rfam family "tRNA". Rfam says of the family: Transfer RNA (tRNA) molecules are approximately 80 nucleotides in length. Their secondary structure includes four short double-helical elements and three loops (D, anti-codon, and T loops). Lineage: Bacteria; Pseudomonadati; Pseudomonadota; Betaproteobacteria; Burkholderiales; Burkholderiaceae. The record is from RNAcentral.
GGGGGUGUAGCUCAGAGGGAGAGCGGCUGCUUUGCAAGCAGCGGGUCGUCGGUUCAAGUCCGACCACCUCCACCA